GGGUUGUAGGACACUCUAUACGGAGUUACAAAAGAAAGUUAUAAAUGAAGCGGUCUGGAAAGGCCCGCCAAAGACGGUAACAGCCCGGUAGUUGAAAUAGCUUUCCCUCCAGAGUGGAUCCUGAGUACGGCGGAACACGUGAAAUUCCGUCGGAAUCCGGGAGGACCAUCUCCCAAGGCUAAAUACUCCCUAGUGACCGAUAGUGAACCAGUACCGUGAGGGAAAGGUGAAAAGCACCCCGGAAGGGGAGUGAAACAGUUCCUGAAACCGUGUGCCUACAAGUAGUUAGAGCCCGUUAAUGGGUGAUAGCGUGCCUUUUGUAGAAUGAACCGGCGAGUUACGAUUUGUUGCAAGGUUAAGCGGAAAAAGCGGAGCCGUAGCGAAAGCGAGUCUGAAUAGGGCGCAUAAGUAACAGGUCGUAGACCCGAAACCAGGUGAUCUACCCAUGUCCAGGAUGAAGGUAAGGUAAUACUUACUGGAGGUCCGAACCCACGCACGUUGAAAAGUGCGGGGAUGAGGUGUGGGUAGCGGAGAAAUUCCAAUCGAACUUGGAGAUAGCUGGUUCUCUCCGAAAUAGCUUUAGGGCUAGCCUCGAGGUAAAGAGUCAUGGAGGUAGAGCACUGUUUGGACUAGGGGCCCUUCUCGGGUUACCGAAUUCAGAUAAAC
This 666-nucleotide ribosomal RNA is filed under the name Listeria monocytogenes. RNAcentral's name for it is "partial 23S ribosomal RNA". It matches the Rfam family "Bacterial large subunit ribosomal RNA", at positions 295 to 954 of the family's 2925-position model. Lineage: Bacteria; Bacillati; Bacillota; Bacilli; Caryophanales; Listeriaceae. The record is from RNAcentral.